GGCCCGGGCGCCAUCUUGAGGCGGGGGCGGCCCGGCCCGGCCCGGCUCGGCCCGUCUUGUCCUGUCCCGUCCCUCGCCCUCCUGCCCCUGCGGCCGCCGGUGGCGAAACGCGAGGUGAACCGCCGCCCGGCUUCGCCGCCGCACGGGGUGUGAGGAGGUGGUGGCUGGCCGGGCUUGCGAGGGCAGGGCCUGUGGGAGCCGGGGGUGUGUAGCUGAGGGGAGCGGCCCCCGCAGCAGCCGGCAGGGCUUCCCCACCUCCCUACAGGCUGCGUGGGCUCUUGCCAAGAGCUGCGUGGGAGCUGCUUGCUGGGUGUGCCCGCUGUCCCUGAGGAGGAGGAGGGAUGGAGACCUGCAGUCAGCUCACGCCUCCCGCCCUGUCAGUUCAGCCCUUUGGUCCCCAGCAUCGUCUGCUUGCUGGAACAGGCUCGGUCAGACGUUUGAGAGCCGCGUCUCGGGGCUUAGUCGUGGGCCUUAGUGAUCAUCCCGGUGGAGUCACCGAGUUCCUUCGAGGAGAGAACUCGCGGGACAGCCAGGCCCAGCAGCCUGGCAGCGCCGGUCACAGGGGCAGGGAUCCCCAAAGCGCCCACAGGACUCCCGAAAGGUGUCCGUGUGGCUCGCUGGUAUCGCCCUGCCCGCUCACCUCAGGUUUCUGGAGCCACAUUUCGUUCCUCAUCUGCCGUGUGCGAGUAUGAAAUACACCGAACUUUCACUCGGACUUGUGCAAAAUACCUUUCGCUUAUUUUGUAACGAGCUAGAGGUUGGACAUUGAAUGUCGUUUGAAGAACGCCCAGACGUUUCUCCCGGAGUGACGGCAGAGUUCAUCUUUCUUCAACGCUUUCUACACCGCAAGUGGGGUUUUUUACCCUCCUGGGGUCUACAAUGACGGGAUGAUCAAGCGUGCUGGGCUCCUGUUUUAUGAUUUAAGCUCCAUGAGCGGAUGCCUUGCCCAGGCAGCCCUGGGAUGGAGAGUUCCCGUGUUGUUCCCGUUUUCCCGGUGGGAAGCAGCCUGCAGGUGGCACCGGCGUCUCACGGUGGCGUCGCUCCCCACCCCGAGGUGACCACGGCUGGAAAUUGAACUCGUUUCUGUCACUUUUUUUGGGGGCAAAACGGAGCGCCUUCCCCUCAGCCUUAAAUUUCCUAAUUACGCUGAAACUUACAACCUCACGUCGUGAAUACAAACGGCGCUAAUUUGUUUUAAUUGCUUUAAAGGGGGAGGACGAAUCAGCUUGUACAGAAGCGCAAGAAGCGCUGAUGCCGUCUGGCUGAAGCAGGGAGUUGAGAUGGGUUCUGUGUCAUUCCAGACAAUGACUUUUCCCUUUUAUUAACUUCCACUCCCUUCCUCCCCGCAGGGUCACAUGUGGUGCAGCAACCACAGCAGCUGCACAUGCAGAUCCUUGGAGAGUUUCUCCCAAGUUCUUCAAAUCCUGUGACCUCCUUUUUGUCACCUUAGGACUGAGUCACAUGUCACGCGUCUCCGUCGGCUCCAGUUGUUUGGCUUUGUUUUGUUUUUUUUUUUGGUCUGGCCCUGGUGGGACAACACAUCUGAGCUCUGUUGCACCUCCUGGAGAUGAGGACUGCCCAAAGUGGCUGCUUUCAGAAAAAUUGGGUAACUCUUGGGAGGCUUUUUCCUGACGAAGGGACUUGCUAAGGCUCCUGGCUCCGCGGUCUUUCCCCAGCUGCCCUCUCGGUUACUCUGGUUUACUGACAUGUUUUUUUUCCCCCUCUUUUUAUAACGGGCUCUCCCCUUGGUGUCCUGUGCCAGGAGUCCUGCAGGCAGAGAAAAACUGGAUAAACAGAAAUGCUGGAAAUAAUUCUGUGUAAAUCAUUUGAAGAUGUAGCAUGAUUAAAGUGGGAGAUACUUAAAUAAAGACUCACACAGUGCUGGCCCCAUCCCUGCCCCUACAAUGUAUUUAAAGAUCUGCAGCAGGAGAGCAGGAUGGAUCAAGAGGCACCUCCAGAGGGGAAGGCUCACAAGAUGCUCCCAAGACUGACAAUAAAAGCAGGACAGAGGAGAGGUGAGUGCCUGCCUGUUCCCACCCAGGGAUGGUGGCUAGGAACAGGCUGGCAGCCAGCUUCAUGGGGGGACAGAUGCCAAGGCAGCUGCUGGUCCUGCUCCCUGACCCCUCUGGCUGGCAGCAGCUUGUCUUUUGGGAUGUUUUCUGCAGAAUUCAGCUUCCUCCAGGGUCAACCUCCAGAGGGUGUGAAUGGUGCCUGGGGGAGUGAUGGGGAGCAGAAGUUUCCCUUGCUCCUAGGUGUGUGCCCAGCUCACAGCAGGAUCCUGCUGUGCAAGAGCAGAGGUUUGUCCCGGUGGCUCCAGGACACAGCGACUGGUGUGGUGGAGAAGAUCUCCUGGAUGUCCCAUUUCAAGCGCCUCUAAGAAAAUGUUUCCUUCGGUUUUCCUAUCUUGCUUUUGAUUUUUUUUUUCUUGUAUCCCUUUCAAAUCUUCCCCCGAGAUGACUGAAACUCAACACCCCACGUUGCAGGGCAUCGUCCUCUCCCGUGCCGACCUGGGCCAGCUGCUUAUAAAAGAGAGGGCGAGAACCGGAACGUUUCCCUUCCCCAAAACAUCUGAGGUCCUUACUCCUCCGUGGAUGAAGCGCCGCUGGAAAACCAACACGGCACAAACCAGGGGUGAGUGUCACCCCUCCUGGCGGUGACCAACCCACACCCUCCUGCUCUGAGACCUCCUCCAGAUGCUGGGGCUCAUUAAUUUAUUGCUUCAACACAUUUUACUGUGUUUUGUAACUGUAAACCCUAAGGUGACUCUGUUCUAAUUCUAAAAAUCACGAAUCUUUCUUUAUAAUGGAUGUAGUUUUGUGUACUGAGCCAUCGCACACCCCCCCAGUUCCUGUCUCCAGUGAGCAUCUCCAGGAAGUCACACAAGUCCACCUGGUGUUUUGCCUUUAUUUCUAAACACAUCCAAGCUGGAAUACAUAGGCAAGCGCUGGGCGGGUCAUUGGAACACCAUCCCUCUGGUUCCUGUUCAAACCCAGACCAUUCUGCCUUGCCAGAACCUCGAAAAAUGAGUAUAAUGAGUAAGUUACGAGUUGAAAUAAUGCACUGCCUGAGUCUUCUUAAUGUUUAAGAAGAUGUUAUUUCAUGGCUGCUCCACAAAGAGCGUUGCAUGGUGUUUUCUGCAGGACACAGUGGGACUGGCUGGCUUGGCCAUGGAGGAGAGCAGGUGCUGGGGUGGCUGUUGGGCCAUACAGGAUCACAUGCAUUUAGUGACUACCUAAAAAUCCUCACCCUGUUCAAAAAGGGGGUGUGUGAAGUAGCCCUGUGGU
This is a long non-coding RNA of Apus apus (common swift), 3284 nucleotides long. RefSeq lists it as uncharacterized. The record is from RefSeq and is a predicted model, not a curated record. The transcript has 4 exons. NCBI's taxonomy places the organism in Eukaryota, Metazoa, Chordata, Aves, Apodiformes, Apodidae.